This 468-nucleotide ribosomal RNA is filed under the name uncultured bacterium. Its description in RNAcentral is "bacterial SSU rRNA". It matches the Rfam family "Bacterial small subunit ribosomal RNA", at positions 54 to 520 of the family's 1533-position model. The record is from RNAcentral.
CAUGCAAGUCGAACGAAGCACUUUAUUUGAUUUCCUUCGGGACUGAUUAUUUUGUGACUGAGUGGCGGACGGGUGAGUAACGCGUGGGUAACCUGCCUUGUACAGGGGGAUAACAGUUGGAAACGGCUGCUAAUACCGCAUAAGCGCACAGCAUCGCAUGAUGCAGUGUGAAAAACUCCGGUGGUAUAAGAUGGACCCGCGUUGGAUUAGCUAGUUGGUGAGGUAACGGCCCACCAAGGCGACGAUCCAUAGCCGACCUGAGAGGGUGACCGGCCACAUUGGGACUGAGACACGGCCCAAACUCCUACGGGAGGCAGCAGUGGGGAAUAUUGCACAAUGGGCGAAAGCCUGAUGCAGCGACGCCGCGUGAGCGAAGAAGUAUUUCGGUAUGUAAAGCUCUAUCAGCAGGGAAGAUAAUGACGGUACCUGACUAAGAAGCACCGGCUAAAUACGUGCCAGCAGCCGCGG